Molecule: ribosomal RNA, 315 nt
Filed under: Staphylococcus capitis
Lineage: Bacteria; Bacillati; Bacillota; Bacilli; Caryophanales; Staphylococcaceae
Description: bacterial SSU rRNA
Rfam family: Bacterial small subunit ribosomal RNA
Source: RNAcentral
UUUAUGGAGAGUUUGAUCCUGGCUCAGGAUGAACGCUGGCGGCGUGCCUAAUACAUGCAAGUCGAGCGAACAGACGAGGAGCUUGCUCCUCUGAUGUUAGCGGCGGACGGGUGAGUAACACGUGGAUAACCUACCUAUAAGACUGGGAUAACUUCGGGAAACCGGAGCUAAUACCGGAUAACAUGUUAAACCGCAUGGUUCAACAGUGAAAGACGGUCUUGCUGUCACUUAUAGAUGGAUCCGCGCCGCAUUAGCUAGUUGGUAAGGUAACGGCUUACCAAGGCAACGAUGCGUAGCCGACCUGAGAGGGUGAUC